UACGUAGGGUGCGAGCGUUGUCCGGAUUUAUUGGGCGUAAAGAGCUCGUAGGCGGCUUGUUGCGUCGACCGUGAAAACCCGGGGCUCAACUUCGGGCUUGCGGUCGAUACGGGCGGGCUAGAGUUCGGUAGGGGAGACUGGAAUUCCUGGUGCAGCGGUGAAAUGCGCAGAUAUCAGGAGGAACACCGGUGGCGAAGGCGGGUCUCUGGGCCGAUACUGACGCUGAGGAGCGAAAGCGUGGGGAGCGAACAGG
This 253-nucleotide ribosomal RNA is filed under the name uncultured bacterium. RNAcentral describes it as "partial 16S ribosomal RNA". It matches the Rfam family "Bacterial small subunit ribosomal RNA", at positions 524 to 776 of the family's 1533-position model. The record is from RNAcentral.